RNAcentral lists this ribosomal RNA (915 nucleotides) under Halomonas halmophila. RNAcentral describes it as "bacterial SSU rRNA". It matches the Rfam family "Bacterial small subunit ribosomal RNA", at positions 56 to 966 of the family's 1533-position model. The record is from RNAcentral. Lineage: Bacteria; Pseudomonadati; Pseudomonadota; Gammaproteobacteria; Oceanospirillales; Halomonadaceae.
UGCAGUCGAGCGGAACGAUCCCAGCUUGCUGGGAGGCGUCGAGCGGCGGACGGGUGAGUAAUGCAUAGGAAUCUGCCCGGUAGUGGGGGAUAACUUGAGGAAACUCAAGCUAAUACCGCAUACGCCCUACGGGGGAAAGCAGGGGCUCUUCGGACCUUGCGCUAUCGGAUGAGCUUAUGUCGGAUUAGCUAGUUGGUGAGGUAACGGCUUACCAAGGCGACGAUCCGUAGCUGGUCUGAGAGGAUGAUCAGCCACAUCGGGACUGAGACACGGCCCGAACUCCUACGGGAGGCAGCAGUGGGGAAUAUUGGACAAUGGGCGAAAGCCUGAUCCAGCCAUGCCGCGUGUGUGAAGAAGGCCCUCGGGUUGUAAAGCACUUUCAGUGAGGAAGAAGGCUUGUCGGUUAAUACCCGGCAGGAAGGACAUCACUCACAGAAGAAGCCCCGGCUAACUCCGUGCCAGCAGCCGCGGUAAUACGGAGGGGGCAAGCGUUAAUCGGAAUUACUGGGCGUAAAGCGUGCGUAGGCGGCUUGGUAAGCCGGUUGUGAAAGCCCCGGGCUCAACCUGGGAAUGGCAUCCGGAACUGUCAGGCUAGAGUGCAGGAGAGGAAGGUAGAAUUCCCGGUGUAGCGGUGAAAUGCGUAGAGAUCGGGAGGAAUACCAGUGGCGAAGGCGGCCUUCUGGACUGACACUGACGCUGAGGUACGAAAGCGUGGGUAGCAAACAGGAUUAGAUACCCUGGUAGUCCACGCCGUAAACGAUGUCGACUAGCCGUUGGGGUCCUUGAGACCUUUGUGGCGCAGUUAACGCACUAAGUCGACCGCCUGGGGAGUACGGCCGCAAGGUUAAAACUCAAAUGAAUUGACGGGGGCCCGCACAAGCGGUGGAGCAUGUGGUUUAUUCGAUGCACGCGAGA